AACGAACGCUGGCGGCAGGCCUAAUACAUGCAAGUCGAACGGAUGUAGCAAUACAUUAGUGGCGCACGGGUGCCUAACGCGUGGGAACAUACCCUUGCGUAAGGAAUAAUGUCUGGAAACGGACACUAAUACCUUAUAAUGACUUCGGUCCAAAGAUUUAUCGCUCAAGGAUUGGCCCGCGUCUGAUUAGCUAGUUGGUGAGGUAACGGCUCACCAAGGCGACGAUCAGUAGCUGGUCUGAGAGGAUGAUCAGCCACACUGGGACUGAGACACGGCCCAGACUCCUACGGGAGGCAGCAGUAAGGAAUAUUGGACAAUGGAGGAAACUCUGAUCCAGCCAUGCCGCGUGAGUGAAGAAGGCCUUAGGGUUGUAAAGCUCUUUCAAUGGUGAAGAUAAUGACGGUAGCCAUAGAAGAAGCCCCGGCUAAAUUCGUGCCAGCCGCCGCGGUAA
RNAcentral lists this ribosomal RNA (451 nucleotides) under uncultured bacterium. Its description in RNAcentral is "partial 16S ribosomal RNA". It matches the Rfam family "Bacterial small subunit ribosomal RNA", at positions 29 to 523 of the family's 1533-position model. The record is from RNAcentral.